GAUGAACGCUGGCGGCGUGCCUAAUACAUGCAAGUCGAGCGAACGGACGAGAAGCUUGCUUCUCUGAUGUUAGCGGCGGACGGGUGAGUAACACGUGGAUAACCUACCUAUAAGACUGGGAUAACUUCGGGAAACCGGAGCUAAUACCGGAUAAUAUUUUGAACCGCAUGGUUCAAAAGUGAAAGACGGUCUUGCUGUCACUUAUAGAUGGAUCCGCGCUGCAUUAGCUAGUUGGUAAGGUAACGGCUUACCAAGGCAACGAUGCAUAGCCGACCUGAGAGGGUGAUAGGCCACACUGGAACUGAGACACGGUCCAGACGCCUACGGGAGGCAGCAGUAGGGAAUCUUCCGCAAUGGGCGAAAGCCUGACGGAGCAACGCCGCGUGAGUGAUGAAGGUCUUCGGAUCGUAAAACUCUGUUAUUAGGGAAGAACAGAUGUGUAAGUAACUGUGCACAUCUUGACGGUACCUAAUCAGAAAGCAACGGCUAACUACGUG
RNAcentral lists this ribosomal RNA (497 nucleotides) under uncultured bacterium. Its description in RNAcentral is "partial 16S ribosomal RNA". It matches the Rfam family "Bacterial small subunit ribosomal RNA", at positions 28 to 507 of the family's 1533-position model. The record is from RNAcentral.